CGCGCAGGCGGUUGGGUAAGUGAGGCAUGAAAGCCCCAUGGCUAAACCUGGGGAGGUUGUCUGAUACUGCCUGACUAGAGUACGAUAGAGGGGUGUAGAAUUCCGCGUGUAGUGGUGAAAUGCGUAGAGAUGCGGAGGAAUACCAGAGGCGAAGGCGGCACCCUGGAUCGUAACUGACGCUGAGGCGCGAAAGCAUGGGUAGCGAACGGGAUUAGAAACCCCGGUAGUCCAUGCCGUAAACGAUGUGUACUCGAUGUUCGGCCUACAUUGUAGGUUGAGUGUCUAAGCAAACGCGGUAAGUACACCGCCUGGGGAGUACGGUCGCAAGGCUAAA
Molecule: ribosomal RNA, 334 nt
Filed under: uncultured bacterium
Lineage: Bacteria
Description: bacterial SSU rRNA
Rfam family: Bacterial small subunit ribosomal RNA
Source: RNAcentral